UACGGGGGGGGUAAGCGUUGUUCGGAAUUACUGGGCGUAAAGGGCUCGUAGGCGGCCAACUAAGUCAGACGUGAAAUCCCUCAGCUUAACUGGGGAACUGCGUCUGAUACUGGAUGGCUUGGAUUCGGGAGAGGAAUGCGGAAUUCCAGGUGUAGCGGUGAAAUGCGUAGAUAUCGGGAGGAACACCUGUGGCGAAGGCGGCCCCCUGGUUGGAUACUGACGCUGAGACGCGAAAGCGUGGGGAGCAAACAGG
RNAcentral lists this ribosomal RNA (253 nucleotides) under uncultured bacterium. Its description in RNAcentral is "partial 16S ribosomal RNA". It matches the Rfam family "Bacterial small subunit ribosomal RNA", at positions 524 to 776 of the family's 1533-position model. The record is from RNAcentral.